Long non-coding RNA from Myotis myotis, 700 nucleotides. RefSeq lists it as uncharacterized. The record is from RefSeq and is a predicted model, not a curated record. The transcript is spliced from 3 exons. Lineage: Eukaryota; Metazoa; Chordata; Mammalia; Chiroptera; Vespertilionidae.
CCUCCCGGACGGGUCCCGCUGAAUGAAGGUGGAAGGGGCGUGGAAAAGCGGGGGAGCCCGCUUGCUUUCUGCGUCCUCCCUCUCACUACUGGCUGUUCCCUAAAGUCACAAAGUCCUAAUGGCUCACUUGAUUUUCUUGACAAAAUGGGACUUGCACCCUAGGAGGAUGAGAACUAGGCAAGGAGAUGCCAAACUUACUGCUCUUUGACUUCAGAAACAGGGAUUCUCGGGUCCGAGUGAGGGACAGAGGGCAGAUGGCAUGACCCUGUAUGGUCCUGCAGGCGUUCUUCCAGGUUCGUUUGUCUGGCCCACUCCGUGACAUCAGUGCUGGGGCCACCGCGGCGGCUGACAGCCUCAGGCUCCGUGCUCGGAGCUCAGCGUUCAGUGGAGGAGCAGAUGUUCACCAGUUUGUCUCUAUCAGACAUGAGCAGAGCAAGGACGAUGGACCAACUGGAGGAGUAAUGGAUGGGACCCUGAGACGUGCUUCUCACCACUCCAACUGCUCUGAAGCUGGAGACACAUUCUAACCUGGCUGGAAGUUGCAGGUGGGACUUGGGAGCUCACCUGGAAAUGUGACCCAUCCUCUACAUCCAGGAGCUGCUUAUUAUCAUGUAAAGAUUAACAACCUUGUUGCUGAAACCAGACUCGAGGGCCACAAUGGGUUCUUAAACUGGACCGGAGGGCCGGAACAAAAGCAUGG